RNAcentral lists this small RNA (2136 nucleotides) under Pongo abelii (Sumatran orangutan). RNAcentral describes it as "retained intron". Lineage: Eukaryota; Metazoa; Chordata; Mammalia; Primates; Hominidae. The record is from RNAcentral.
UUAUUACAGCUGACCUACUGUCUCCUGUCCGUUUUAGGAGCGGUGACAUAGAUUAUCACCCCUUAGUGUUUUCCUGUCAUCUGCCUUCUCGUCUCCACCUAAAAUUUAGUUUUCAGUAAAAGAUUGUGCUAUCUAAACCUGUCAUCAUUGCAAAACAGAUUUAUUUACGUUUAUCAUGAUGCUGACAUUAGCAAGCUGACUCAUGGUUUAAUGUUAAUGUUUCUUACUACUGGUCACUGGCUGACAGUUGGAAAAAUGAUGCCCUAUUUUUUUUUUUUUUUUUUUUUUUUGAGAUGGAACCUUGCUGUGUUGCCCAGACUGAAGUGCAGUGGUGCCAUCUUGGCUCACUGCAACCUCUGCCUCCCAGGUUCAAGCGAUUCUUCUGCCUCAGCCUCCCGAGUAGCUGAGACUACAGGUGCAUGCCACCACGCGCAGCUGAUUUUUAUAUUUUUAGUAGAGGUUGGGCUUCACCAUAUUGGCUGGGCUGGUCUCGAACCUCUGACCUCAUGGAUCCUCCCGCCUCGGCCUCCCAAAGUGCUGGGAUUACAGGUCUGAGCCACUGGGCCCUGCCUUUUUUUGUUUUUGUUUUUGAUACGGAGUCUUGCUCUCUUGCCUAGGCUGGAGUACGGUGGUCCGGUCUUGGUUCACUACAACUUCUGCCUCCCAGGCUCAAGCGAUUCUCCUGCCUCAGCCUCCUGAGUAGCUGGGAUUACAGGCACCCGCUACCAUGCCCGGCUAAUUUUUGUAUUUUUAUUAGAGACCAUGUUGGCCAGACUGGUCUUGAACUGCUGACCUCAGAUGAUCCGCCCACCUUGGCCUCCCAAAGUGCUGGGAUUACAGGUGUGAGCCACUGCGCCCAGUCCUGUCUCUAUUUUUAUCUGAAAUUGUGUUAGCCUUUGCCUAGUUAUGGUGAAUUAACCUUAGCAUAUGAUAGUUCUCUUAAUGUUUCCCGCCACCCUUUUCAGAGUAAGCAAUUAGACGUGUACAGCUUCUUUUCCUUUAUCUCUUUGGGUAAAUAGCAACCAGUUUUUCCUGCUACUUUAGAUAGUAGGCAAUAACGAAAUGUAUUCAUAGCUCUCAGUAAUAUUUGUUCUAUUGUUUUGUUUUUGAGGUGAAAGGGGGGACCCUACCCUCAGAACAUGAGGGAAUAAUAUUUACGUGGCUCACAAAGACCAGCAAUGGAUCACUUGGAGUCCUUUAUUGCGGAAUGUGAUCGGAGAACUGAGCUCGCCAAGAAGCGGCUGGCAGAAACACAGGAGGAAAUCAGUGCGGAAGUUUCUGCAAAGGCAGAAAAAGUACAUGAGUUAAAUGAAGAAAUAGGAAAACUCCUUGCUAAAGCCGAACAGCUAGGGGCUGAAGGUAAUGUGGAUGAAUCCCAGAAGAUUCUUAUGGAAGUGGAAAAAGUUCGUGCAAAGAAAAAAGAAGCCGAGGAAGAAUACAGAAAUUCCAUGCCUGCAUCCAGUUUUCAGCAGCAAAAGCUGCGUGUCUGCGAGGUCUGUUCAGCCUACCUUGGUCUCCAUGACAAUGACCGUCGCUUGGCAGACCACUUCGGUGGCAAGUUACACUUGGGGUUCAUUCAGAUACGAGAGAAGCUUGAUCAGUUGAGGAAAACUGUUGCUGAAAAGCAGGAGAAGAGAAAUCAGGAUCGCUUGAGGAGGAGAGAGGAGAGGGAACGGGAGGAGCGUCUGAGCAGGAGGUCGGGAUCAAGAACCAGAGAUCGCAGGAGGUCACGCUCCCGGGAUCGGCGUCGGAGGCGGUCAAGAUCUACCUCCCGAGAGCGACGGAAGUUGUCCCGGUCCCGGUCCCGAGAUAGACAUCGGCGCCACCGCAGCCGUUCCCGGAGCCACAGCCGGGGACAUCGUCGGGCUUCCCGGGACCGGAGUGCGAAAUACAAGUUCUCCAGAGAGCGGGCAUCCAGAGAGGAGUCCUGGGAGAGCGGGCGGAGCGAGCGAGGGCCCCCGGACUGGAGGCUUGAGAGCUCCAACGGGAAGAUGGCUUCACGGAGGUCAGAAGAGAAGGAGGCCGGCGAGAUCUGAACCCAUCUCCCGGGUGCUGUAAAUAGUCUGAUAAACGUUCACACAGUCUAAAAUUACCCUUUAUAUUUGCUGAAUACAACUCAUCUUUUGUAGUUUAAAA